Molecule: unclassified non-coding RNA, 390 nt
Filed under: Involucrella chereevensis
Lineage: Eukaryota; Viridiplantae; Streptophyta; Magnoliopsida; Gentianales; Rubiaceae
Description: partial external transcribed spacer
Source: RNAcentral
CCAGGUAGCAUUCCUCACGGACAUCGGACCGCACGGCACGAGACCGAAACGGAACCGAACGUCGUUCGAAAUUAAGCUUCUAGGGGACAAAUAGGAGUCGUCGACCCCGUGCCCUUCGCGUUUUCUGCAUCCCUGCGAUCGAACGAUAACUCGUUGGCCACGGCAACAACGCGGUAAGCGUCAGCCGGGGAUAACGAGUGUCGUUUAAGUAUCGCCCUCGGCCACACCGAACAAACGAGGCAACCUAAGGCAAACGUGGGAACAUCGCCAGCCGAUUCCAUUGAGAAGGUACGCAACACAGGAAACCGAACGAUUGGCCAAUACAAAAUUGUGCCGAAAACUGAAGAGGAACGCACGGUAGGACGUCGCCGCACAAGGCCGGGAUCCAAC